This 610-nucleotide ribosomal RNA is filed under the name uncultured archaeon. RNAcentral describes it as "bacterial SSU rRNA". It matches the Rfam family "Archaeal small subunit ribosomal RNA", at positions 278 to 889 of the family's 1478-position model. The record is from RNAcentral.
GAGAGAGGGAGCCCAGAGAUGGAAUCUGAGACACGAUUCCAGGCCCUACGGGGCGCAGCAGUCGCGAAAACUUCACAAUGGAGGCAACUCCGAUGAGGGAAUUCCAAGUGCUAGCACAUUAGUGUUAGCUUUUCUUAAGUAUAGAUAGCUUAGGGAAUAAGGGCUGGGUAAGACGGGUGCCAGCCGCCGCGGUAAUACCCGCAGCCCGAGUGGUGGUCGAUUUUAUUGAGUCUAAAACGUUCGUAGCCGGUUCAUUAAAUCUUUGGGUAAAUCGGGUGGCUUAACUAUCCGAAUUCCGAGGAGACUGGUGAACUUGGGACCGGGAGAGGCAAGAGGUACUUUUGGGGUAGGGGUAAAAUCCUGUAAUCCUGAAAGGACCACCGGUGGCGAAGGCGUCUUGCUAGAACGGAUCCGACGGUGAGGGACGAAGCCCUGGGUCGCAAACGGGAUUAGAUACCCCGGUAGUCCAGGGUGUAAACGCUGCAGACUUGGUGUUGGAGACCCUUCGGGGGUGUUCAGUGCCGGAGAGAAGUUGUUAAGUCUGCUACUUGGGGAGUACGUCCGCAAGGAUGAAACUUAAAGGAAUUGGCGGGGGAGCACCGCAACGGGA